UUUUAAAAAGGGGGUUAAGUCGCUCUGGAUAAGAGCGUCUGCUAAAUGACUUAAA
Non-coding RNA from Salmo salar (Atlantic salmon), 55 nucleotides. NCBI's taxonomy places the organism in Eukaryota, Metazoa, Chordata, Actinopteri, Salmoniformes, Salmonidae. The record is from Rfam.